GGAAGACCAAGGGUUCCUGUCCAACGUUAAUCGGGGCAGGGUGAGUCGGCCCCUAAGGCGAGGCUGAAAAGCGUAGUCGAUGGGAAACGGGUUAAUAUUCCCGUACUUGGAUAAACUGCGAUGUGGGGACGGAGCAGGUUAGGUUAUCGCACUGUUGGAUAUGUGCGUUUAAGUUGGUAGGUGAGAAGUUUAGGCAAAUCCGGACUUCUAUAACACUGAGAGAUGAUGACGAGGCUCUACGGAGCUGAAGUAACCGAUACCACACUUCCAGGAAAAGCCACUAAGCUUCAGGUUUAUCUAAACCGUACUGAAAACCGACACAGGUGGUCAGGUAGAGAAUACUCAGGCGCUUGAGAGAACUCGGGUGAAGGAACUAGGCAAAAUAGCACCGUAACUUCGGGAGAAGGUGCGCCGGCGUAGAUUGUAGUCCCUUGCGGGCGAAGGUUGAACCGGUCGAAGAUACCAGCUGGCUGCAACUGUUUAUUAAAAACACAGCACUCUGCAAACACGAAAGUGGACGUAUAGGGUGUGAUGCCUGCCCGGUGCUGGAAGGUUAAUUGAUGGUGUAAUCGAAAGAGAAGCUCCUGAUCGAAGCCCCAGUAAACGGCGGCCGUAACUAUAACGGUCCUAAGGUAGCGAAAUUCCUUGUCGGGUAAGUUCCGACCUGCACGAAUGGCAUAACGAUGGCCACACUGUCUCCUCCCGAGACUCAGUGAAGUUGAAAUGUUUGUGAUGAUGCAAUCUACCCGCGGCUAGACGGGAAGACCCCAUGAACCUUUACUGCAGCUUUGCAUUGAACUGUGAACCGAUUUGUGUAGGAUAGGUGGGAGGCAGAGAAGAGGCCACGCCAGUGGCCUUGGAGCCGACCUUGAAAUACCACCCUGAUUUGUUUGCGGUUCUAACCACGGACAGUGAUCCUGUCUUGGGACCGUGCAUGGUAGGCAGUUUGACUGGGGCGGUCUCCUCCUAAAGGGUAACGGAGGAGUACGAAGGUACGCUAGGUACGGUCGGAAAUCGUGCUGAUAGUGCAAUGGCAAAAGCGUGCUUGACUGCGAGAGCAACAACUCGAGCAGAUGCGAAAGCAGGUCAUAGUGAUCCGGUGGCUCUGAAUGGAAGGGCCAUCGCUCAACGGAUAAAAGGUACUCUGGGGAUAACAGGCUGAUACCGCCCAAGAGUUCAUAUCGACGGCGGUGUUUGGCACCUCGAUGUCGGCUCAUCUCAUCCUGGGGCUGUAGCCGGUCCCAAGGGUAUGGCUGUUCGCCAUUUAAAGAGGUACGUGAGCUGGGUUUAAAACGUCGUGAGACAGUUUGGUCCCUAUCUGCCGUGGGCGUUGGAAGAUUGACGGGGGCUGCUCCUAGUACGAGAGGACCGGAGUGGACGCACCUCUGGUGUACCGGUUGUCACGCCAGUGGCAUUGCCGGGUAGCUAAGUGCGGAAGAGAUAACCGCUGAAAGCAUCUAAGCGGGAAACUUGCCUGAAGAUGAGUCUUCCCGGAGGUUGAACCUCCCUCAAGAGUCGUCCGAGACCAGGACGUCGAUAGGUCAGGUGUGUAAGCGCUGUAAGGCGUUGAGCUAACUGAUACUAAUUGCUCGUGAGGCUUGAUC
RNAcentral lists this ribosomal RNA (1604 nucleotides) under human gut metagenome. RNAcentral's name for it is "bacterial LSU rRNA". It matches the Rfam family "Bacterial large subunit ribosomal RNA", at positions 1339 to 2925 of the family's 2925-position model. The record is from RNAcentral.